CUUUUGUGUGUAAGUUGUGCCAUUAUAAAUUUACUCAAAAUGGUCAUUUAGUGAGGCACAUGAGGACUCACACUGGCUAAGCACCUAUUUUAAGCUUUUGCUUGUAAGUUAUCUAUUUAUUUUACAAGACUAGAUUACAGUGCAUGUGUUAUGAUUGUAAACUAUAUAAUGCAGCGGCUAUACUCACGUCGUUGUUGUUUCGUGCUUUAGUGGCUUUCGGUAGCGCCGCCACGGCACAGUUUACUUCGCCAAUGUCGCGUAGCUUGAAGAAGACACGAAGCAGGUUGCUCGGCUUCAGAACUACUGUACUAUUGAAUUUUCCCAACCAAAAGGUUUUUC
Long non-coding RNA from Maniola jurtina (meadow brown), 339 nucleotides. RefSeq lists it as uncharacterized. The transcript has 3 exons. The record is from RefSeq and is a predicted model, not a curated record. NCBI's taxonomy places the organism in Eukaryota, Metazoa, Arthropoda, Insecta, Lepidoptera, Nymphalidae.